AUGACUGAACUUUUUCACUUGGAUCCAAAUCAUCAUCAGAUCAGAAUGGACUUUUAAUUAGUGCCACUCAUGGUACUGGUCUGUAAACUGCUGGUUUCAGGUCCACAAAGAUAAGGCACUUGAGCCAGAAUGGAAAACGUAAAACAACUACCUCACCAAACACACUUGUUUCCCUUUAAAGCAAGGCUUUCUUGAUGAAGGAAGAACUGCCUUGGGUUUACUUUCUAGCAAAAGUUCUUAUCUCAUAGUGGAUCGCUAAAAACAGGUGGAAGACUGACUCUCAUCCAGACAGUGGCACUGGUCCAAGUACAGCACUUUGAAGAACAUCACCUACGUUACCAUCACGUCUCCUCCCUCACGGCUGUCAACUCUGGAUUGUUGCAACAGUCUCUUGGAUGGUCUCCCCGCUUGUAGCUGUUUUCUCCCAUGCAUUCUCCACUCCUGUGCCAGAGAAAUCUUCUUAUUUAUUUACUUUUGAGAGAGAGUACAAGUGGGGGGGGGGGGGCAGAGAGAGAGGGAAAGAAAGAAUCCCAAGCAAGCUCUGCACAGCCAGCGCAGAACCCGAUGUGGGGCUCCAGCCCAGGAACUGUUGAGACCAUGAUCCAAGCCGGAAUCAGAUGCUUAACCGACUGAAUCACCCAGGCACUCCAGAGAAAUCUUUCUAACUUGUAAAUCUGUUUGCGACGUUACCCUCCAUAAAACCCUUCAAUGAUUCCCACUGUCUCUUGAUAAAGCCCAAGCUUCACGUGGGACCCGAGGCUCUUUGUGACCUUGCUCCGUGUACCCUCACCAGCUUUCCUGCCUGCUGCUUAGGUCCCAGUUUGACAGAAUUAUAUGUAGUUCUCCAAAUAGGCCGCAUGCUCACUUCACGAUUUUGUACAUGCUAUUCUGUCAGCCCCUGUUGAUCUCCUUUCCCUCAUUAGCCUGUCUCACGUGCACACACUGUCUCUGCGUGGUCAAAAGCCACAACAGCCACAUGGAACUUCACAGAGCAUAUGGGAAUAGAGAGAUUUUGUUUCAAUUUUAGGAUUUGACCAGGAGGAGAGGAACAGGGAAGGCUAGACUGGGAGUAUGCAGGAUGACUUAGGGAGAAAUUCUAGAAGGCUGCUGCUGAACAGGAAGUGGUAAUGACCUGCCAGUGAAGCAAGGAAAUGCUACAGUAAGAUUUCCAACAAAACCAGGUGGGUACUCACUGGCAGUAAGUCACAGGUAGAGGGAUUAAUUUUUUCAAAAAAGGGGAUGCAGUAUAGUAAACAAAGACAGUUCCUACAGAGAAGUUCCCUUGGGAUGUGCUGGAAGUGGCCAAGCAGCUCGUAAGAAAGACUUCUCUCCUUUGGCUGUCAAAGCACCCAUGACUCUGAAUAGCUUCCAAGCAUGAUGGUUAGGCAAGGAAUGGCUGCUGUUAUCUUGGCAGAAUGGUGGUGAGCUUGGCAAGCUGGUGGCGGAAGCAGUUAAACUUUAUCCAUUCUGUCCUCCCACACACUCAGCGUGGAGGCUGUGGACGGCGAGGAUGUCAGAGGCUGAAGAAAUAUCCAGCAGCCCAGGGGGAGAGUCUCUGGGUCUUUUCCCUUAUCCGGGACAGGCAAGGCAGACCGAGGGUCACAGCUCCUGCCUGGCCUCUGGUAGCCUCUGAUAAGCAAAACCUUCAGCGGGAAGGGAUCAUUCUCCCUUUUGUCACCUACGCAGAUAGAGUAAAGUGUGUGCCCUUUUCCCACUUCUGGGAGGCUAAGAUUUAUUGAAAUCUGCAAAUUGCCUCCUUCAAGAAAACAUUAUAUAAAAGGAUUAGCUUCCUGGCAGGUGUUUAGUCUGAUGCGGGUUCUCAAAAGACAUGAAUGGGAAUUUGUCCAUUUUGUGUUAUCCAAAUGCUCUACAAAGAUUAACUCAUUCAUCCUCAUUGCCUGCUUGUGAGGGUUGUUAUCCCUUUUUUUCAGCUGUGGAAUUGAGACAAAGUGCUGCGCUGAGCGGCCUAGCCCGAGGCUACGCAGCUGGUGGAUGGAGCCACCAGGCGCUGUGCUGGCAGGCCUCACAGGCAGGCUUCCUCUCUGAGAAAUCUGAUGCUAGACAGAAGGGCAGGCAGGAGGCAUGGAACAAGAGAAGCAGGGGAAACACAGAGGAGGAGAGAGAAGCUUGUUCCUACAAAUGGCAGAGUCUACCAGAGGGAGAACCAGACUUACCUACUUCUGAGGGAGAGAAGACUGAGCAGGCCACCAGGAUUUCUUUUGAACUCCAAACCAGCAAGGAACCUUUACUGAUUUACUUUUGGGUCCCUCAUGGUGUUUUACUCUGCAGUGCUGAGAUACUUUCUUGCUUUCCUUUGUAUAUUUACAGUAUUAAAAUCAAACACUUGCAGUA
This is a long non-coding RNA of Felis catus (domestic cat), 2352 nucleotides long. RefSeq lists it as uncharacterized. The transcript is spliced from 2 exons. NCBI's taxonomy places the organism in Eukaryota, Metazoa, Chordata, Mammalia, Carnivora, Felidae. The record is from RefSeq and is a predicted model, not a curated record.